This 254-nucleotide ribosomal RNA is filed under the name uncultured bacterium. RNAcentral's name for it is "partial 16S ribosomal RNA". It matches the Rfam family "Bacterial small subunit ribosomal RNA", at positions 524 to 776 of the family's 1533-position model. The record is from RNAcentral.
UACGGGGGGAGCAAGCGUUGUUCGGAUUUACUGGGCGUAAAGGGCGCGUAGGCGGCCACCGCAAGUCGAUUGUGAAAUCUCCGGGCUUAACCCGGAAAGGUCAACCGAUACUGCGGGGCUAGAGUGCAGAAGGGGCAACUGGAAUUCUCGGUGUAGCGGUGAAAUGCGUAGAUAUCGAGAGGAACACCUGCGGCGAAGGCGAGUUGCUGGGCUGACACUGACGCUGAAGCGCGAAAGCUAGGGGAGCGAACGGG